CCUACGGGCGGCAGCAGUGGGGAAUAUUGGACAAUGGGGGGAACCCUGAUCCAGCCAUGCCGCGUGUGUGAAGAAGGCCCUCGGGUUGUAAAGCACUUUCAGUGAGGAAGAACGCCUGGUGGUUAAUACCCAUCAGGAAAGACAUCACUCACAGAAGAAGCACCGGCUAACUCCGUGCCAGCAGCCGCGGUAAUACGGAGGGUGCGAGCGUUAAUCGGAAUUACUGGGCGUAAAGCGCGCGUAGGUGGCUUGAUAAGCCGGUUGUGAAAGCCCCGGGCUCAACCUGGGAACGGCAUCCGGAACUGUCAAGCUAGAGUGCAGGAGAGGAAGGUAGAAUUCCCGGUGUAGCGGCGAAAUGCGUAGAGAUCGGGAGGAAUACCAGUGGCGAAGGCGGCCUUCUGGACUGACACUGACACUGAGGUGCGAAAGCGUGGGUAGCAAACAGGAUUAGAUACCCUAGUAGUC
Molecule: ribosomal RNA, 465 nt
Filed under: Vreelandella stevensii
Lineage: Bacteria; Pseudomonadati; Pseudomonadota; Gammaproteobacteria; Oceanospirillales; Halomonadaceae
Description: partial 16S ribosomal RNA
Rfam family: Bacterial small subunit ribosomal RNA
Source: RNAcentral